RNAcentral lists this transfer RNA (85 nucleotides) under Candidatus Latescibacter sp. RNAcentral's name for it is "tRNA-Tyr". It matches the Rfam family "tRNA". From Rfam's summary of the family: Transfer RNA (tRNA) molecules are approximately 80 nucleotides in length. Their secondary structure includes four short double-helical elements and three loops (D, anti-codon, and T loops). Lineage: Bacteria; Pseudomonadati; Candidatus Latescibacterota; Candidatus Latescibacteria (ex Chuvochina et al. 2023); Candidatus Latescibacterales; Candidatus Latescibacteraceae. The record is from RNAcentral.
GGUGGGGUUCCCGAGCGGUCAAAGGGAACAGACUGUAAAUCUGUCAGCUCAGCUUUCGAUGGUUCGAAUCCAUCCCCCACCACCA